AGCAGUCAGGGGUGACUGACACCAUAAAUGUCACUGUUUUACCUUCACUGUUUUAAGAGUUACGGCGUUACCCUUCCUGGCUACAAAAAUAAUAGCGUACCUUGGUUUCAGUUCUCUUGGGACAUUCCAAGAAGCCGCACCGUCCCAAGCUCUAAGAACCACUUAUAUACGAAGUGGACCACAGUUGCAGCUGUUCAAAAAUAUGAGAUCGAGACCAAAUUAAAAUGAAGUAAUUCCUAGAGUCCUGGAAUUAGGAAAUUGGUUAUCCCUUUUCCAGAUUUUAGAGAUUUAUCAUAGUUAUUUAUGAAUCCCAAAGACCUUUGAGUCUAUUCCUGUUACAUGCUUGCCUUUAGACUGCAGGCUGAUAAUACACCAUACUGUGGGUUCUUAGUGAGCUGUUCAUUUCAGUUCUCCUUAUGACUUCUGUCUGCUUUUGGAA
Molecule: long non-coding RNA, 439 nt
Filed under: Bos taurus (domestic cattle)
Lineage: Eukaryota; Metazoa; Chordata; Mammalia; Artiodactyla; Bovidae
Description: long non-coding RNA NONBTAT025860
Source: RNAcentral